GAAAUGCGAUAAGUAAUGUGAAUUGCAGAAUUCAGUGAAUCAUCGAAUCUUUGAAUGCACAUUGCGCCCCCUGGUAUUCCGGGGGGCAUGCCUGUUCGAGCGUCAUUUCACCACUCAAGCCUCGCUUGGUAUUGGGCAACGCGGUCCGCCGCGUGCCUCAAAUCGACCGGCUGGGUCUUCUGUCCCCUAAGCGUUGUGGAAACUAUUCGCUAAAGGGUGCUCGGGAGGCUACGCCGUAAAACAACCCCAUUUCUAAGGUUGACCUCGGAUCAGGUAGGGAUACCCGCUGAACUUAAGC
RNAcentral lists this unclassified non-coding RNA (298 nucleotides) under plant metagenome. RNAcentral describes it as "partial contains 5.8S ribosomal RNA, internal transcribed spacer 2, and large subunit ribosomal RNA". The stretch from base 1 to 105 matches the Rfam family "5.8S ribosomal RNA", at positions 50 to 154 of the family's 154-position model. The record is from RNAcentral.